RNAcentral lists this transfer RNA (69 nucleotides) under Trichonephila inaurata madagascariensis. RNAcentral describes it as "tRNA-Cys". It matches the Rfam family "tRNA". From Rfam's summary of the family: Transfer RNA (tRNA) molecules are approximately 80 nucleotides in length. Their secondary structure includes four short double-helical elements and three loops (D, anti-codon, and T loops). Further hydrogen bonds mediate the characteristic L-shaped molecular structure. tRNAs have two regions of fundamental functional importance: the anti-codon, which is responsible for specific mRNA codon recognition, and the 3' end, to which the tRNAs corresponding amino acid is attached (by aminoacyl-tRNA synthetases). tRNAs cope with the degeneracy of the genetic code in two manners: having more than one tRNA (with a specific anti-codon) for a particular amino acid; and 'wobble' base-pairing, i.e. permitting non-standard base-pairing at the 3rd anti-codon position. Lineage: Eukaryota; Metazoa; Arthropoda; Arachnida; Araneae; Nephilidae. The record is from RNAcentral.
GGGUGUAUAGCUCAGUGGUAGAACAUUCGACUGCAGGUCGGGAGGUCCUGGUUCAAACCCGGGUGCCCC